CUAAGGUAGCGAAAUUCCUUGUCGGGUAAGUUCCGACCCGCACGAAAGGCGUAACGAUUUGGGCACUGUCUCAACAAUAGACUCGGUGAAAUUGUAAUCCCGGUGAAGAUGCCGGGUACCUGCGACAGGACGGAAAGACCCCAUGGAGCUUUACUGUAGCUUGACGUUGGGUCUUGGUACUACAUGUACAGGAUAGGUGGGAGACUAUGAAGCAUGGACGCCAGUCUGUGUGGAGUCAUCCUUGGGAUACCACCCUUGUAGUACUGGGAUCCUAACCAUAGGCCUUGAAUCAGGUCUUGGAACACCGUCAGGUGGGCAGUUUGACUGGGGCGGUCGCCUCCUAAAAAGUAACGGAGGCGCUCAAAGGUUUCCUCAGCACGGUCGGAAAUCGUGCGAAGAGUGUAAAGGCAAAAGGAAGCUUGAUUGCAAGACAUACAGGUCGAGCAAGGACGAAAGUCGGACUUAGUGAUCCGGUGGUUCCGCAUGGAAGGGCCAUCGCUCAACGGAUAAAAGCUACCCUGGGGAUAACAGGCUUAUCUCCCCCAAGAGUCCACAUCGACGGGGAGGUUUGGCACCUCGAUGUCGGCUCAUCACAUCCUGGGGCUGUAGUAGGUCCCAAGGGUUGGGCUGUUCGCCCAUUAAAGUGGUACGCGAGCUGGGUUCAGAACGUCGUGAGACAGUUCGGUCCCUAUCCGUCGCAGGCGUAGGAAAUUUGAGAAGACCUGUCCUUAGUACGAGAGGACCGGGAUGGACGUACCUCUGGUGUACCAGUUGUUCUGCCAAGGGCAUGGCUGGGUAGCUAUGUACGGAAUGGAUAAGCGCUGAAAGCAUCUAAGCGCGAAGCCAACUUCAAGAUAAGAUUUCCCACCGUAAGGGUAAGACCCCAGGAAGACUACCUGGUUGAUAGGUCGAAGGUGUAAGUGCAGUAAUGUAUUUAGCUUAUCGAUACUAAUAGGUCGAGGACUUGACCAA
Molecule: ribosomal RNA, 972 nt
Filed under: human gut metagenome
Description: bacterial LSU rRNA
Rfam family: Bacterial large subunit ribosomal RNA
Source: RNAcentral